UAUUGGUCAAUGGGCGGAAGCCUGAACCAGCCAAGUCGCGCGAGGGAAGAAGGCCCUGCGGGUCGCAGACCUCUUUGGACGGGGAGCAAGGCCGCCGACGUGUCGGCGGCAGGAGAGUACCCGUAGAAAAAGCAUCGGCUAACUCCGUGCCAGCAGCCGCGGUAAUACGGAGGAUGCGAGCGUUAUCCGGAUUUAUUGGGUUUAAAGGGUGCGUAGGCGGAAUGCCAAGUCAGCGGUAAAAUCGCGGGGCUCAACCUCGCUCCGCCGUUGAAACUGGCGUUCUUGAGUGGGCGAGAAGUAUGCGGAAUGCGUGGUGUAGCGGUGAAAUGCAUAGAUAUCACGCAGAACUCCGAUUGCGAAGGCAGCAUACCGGCGCCCAACUGACGCUGAAGCACGAAAGCGUGGGUAUCGAACAGG
RNAcentral lists this ribosomal RNA (417 nucleotides) under uncultured bacterium. Its description in RNAcentral is "bacterial SSU rRNA". It matches the Rfam family "Bacterial small subunit ribosomal RNA", at positions 362 to 776 of the family's 1533-position model. The record is from RNAcentral.